Molecule: unclassified non-coding RNA, 231 nt
Filed under: Hevea brasiliensis (rubber tree)
Lineage: Eukaryota; Viridiplantae; Streptophyta; Magnoliopsida; Malpighiales; Euphorbiaceae
Source: RNAcentral
AAAAAAAAAAAAAAAAAAAAAAAACAGUAGGGCGCCGCUCAGUAUAAGUCAGCACGCUCAUGCGCCCCUGUCGAAUAUAAAAGAACGCUCUCUUACCUAACGAGACGUCCAUCACUCGUCCACCUUCUCACAUUUCGCGGACGGAAAACAGCACCGGUGGUCCUAUGAAUAAGAUCACCAUUUGACAAAUAAAAUUUAUCGGUGGUAAAAGACCCACCGGCCUUAAAGAAC